This 492-nucleotide ribosomal RNA is filed under the name uncultured bacterium. Its description in RNAcentral is "partial 16S ribosomal RNA". It matches the Rfam family "Bacterial small subunit ribosomal RNA", at positions 29 to 507 of the family's 1533-position model. The record is from RNAcentral.
AGUGAACGCUGGCGGUAGGCCUAACACAUGCAAGUCGAACGGCAGCACAGUAAGAGCUUGCUCUUACGGGUGGCGAGUGGCGGACGGGUGAGGAAUACAUCGGAAUCUACUUUUUCGUGGGGGAUAACGUAGGGAAACUUACGCUAAUACAGCAUACGACCUACGGGUGAAAGCAGGGGAUCUUCGGGCCUUGCGCGAUUGAAUGAGCCGAUGUCGGGUUAGCUAGUUGGCGGGGUAAAGGCCCACCAAAGCGACGAUCCGUAGCUGGUCUGAGAGGAUGGUCAGCCACACUGGAACUGAGACACGGUCCAGACUCCUACGGGAGGCAGCAGUGGGGAAUAUUGGACAAUGGGCGCAAGCCUGAUCCAGCCAUACCGCGUGGGUGAAGAAGGCCUUCGGGUUGUAAAGCCCUUUUGUUGGGAAAGAAAAGCAGCAGGUUAAGACCCCGCUGUUCUGACGGUACCCAAAGAAUAAGCACCGGCUAACUUCGUG